AUGGAUGCUGACGUGAGGACCAGCAGGGUGACAAGAGAGGCUGCCUGGUGGGUGACCGCGCUGGGCAGAGCCACAACCCGCUCGCCUUUCAGUUCUCCACCCAGGGGCCCCUCCUGCGAGCCACCCAUAGGGGUCCCUGGUCCCUCCCUCAGACGUCGUCUCCACCACGGCCCGAGAUCAUCUUUCUUCUCCAGUGGGUUCCUUGUCUCUUGCGUACCACCCUCUCCACCCCCACCCCCACCCCACCCCCACCCGGCUUGCCCUUGGACAGACGGCGAGAAGCUGACCGAGAGACCGAGACAGAGACAGGAGAUGAGCCGAGGCCGGUGGGCAAAUGGUGCAGAGAGGGCUUGUCCGACGCAGGGUUGCCCCAGAACUUCACACACACGCACGCACACACGGACACACACGCACAGACACACGCCCGCGCACACACACACGCACACCAGCCCCGGCCCAGCGGCCCAGCGACCCCUCUCUGUGAACGGCCUUGAGGCCACGUGCCGGGCCACGCGGAUCCCCCAGUGCCCAAGGGCACUGGCGGCCCACAGGGAUCCAAGGGCAAGGCGGGUGGGAGGCUGGCAGGGUCCACGUGCCACGAGAAGCAUGGCUUGCAGGCACGACCUCUGCCCAGAGCCUGUUUCCGCCUGGGCCGACUCCUCCGGCCGCCUCCCAGGCCCACCCUCGCAGCCCUUGGGCCUCCCGGCGGCUCUCUGCGGGCGGGACCUCAGCUGUGGGCUCCGAACCCCUGGCCCUCCCCGGACCCGCGUCCCUCCCUUCCUGUGUCCGGGAAACCCAGCGAAGCCUUCGGUGCCCGCCAGGCAGGCGGUGGGCCUGCCUUCCUCCGCUCCGUCCUUCCUGACGCGGAGGCGGCUGGUGCUGGGCCUUGCUUGGGCCCUCAGCCUGAGAAGGUCUGUCUUGCCCCAGGAGACCACCCGGCUCGUGUCCGGCCGCGCCGCCGCCAGGUCCAAGGCGGCCUUGGGGGCAGGGACAGAGCCGGCCGGGUCUUGCCUCUCCUGCGUUCGCGUGCUUGGGGCUCAGGCCUGUCACCCUCUGGCCGCCGAAGCUCUCCGUCACUGCCCCGUGGACACUGGUCGUCUGAUCCCAGACGGAGGCAGGGAGGGCCAGCUGGUGGGGCCUGCCGCUCACACAGCC
RNAcentral lists this long non-coding RNA (1155 nucleotides) under Sus scrofa (pig). Its description in RNAcentral is "lncRNA (ENSSSCG00070004897.1)". The record is from RNAcentral. Lineage: Eukaryota; Metazoa; Chordata; Mammalia; Artiodactyla; Suidae.